This 28-nucleotide non-coding RNA is filed under the name Mus musculus (house mouse). Lineage: Eukaryota; Metazoa; Chordata; Mammalia; Rodentia; Muridae. The record is from RNAcentral.
UGUUUCAUGGCUCACUGGUAGGUGUCUC